Molecule: ribosomal RNA, 253 nt
Filed under: uncultured bacterium
Lineage: Bacteria
Description: partial 16S ribosomal RNA
Rfam family: Bacterial small subunit ribosomal RNA
Source: RNAcentral
UACGUAGGGUGCAAGCGUUAAUCGGAAUUACUGGGCGUAAAGCGUGCGCAGGCGGUUAUUUAAGUCAGGUGUGAAAUCCCCGGGCUUAACCUGGGAACUGCAUUUGUGACUGCAUAGCUAGAGUACGGUAGAGGGGGAUGGAAUUCCGCGUGUAGCAGUGAAAUGCGUAGAUAUGCGGAGGAACACCGAUGGCGAAGGCAGGUCUCUGGGCUGACACUGACGCUCAUGCACGAAAGCGUGGGGAGCAAACAGG